UGGCUUAGGACGAACGCUGGCGGCGUGCCUAAUACAUGCAAGUCGAACGGUCUUUCUAUGGGAGCUUGCUUCACUGAGAAGAUAGUGGCGAACGGGUGAGUAACACGUGGGUAACCUGCCCAUAAGAGGGGGAUAACAUCCGGAAACGGGUGCUAAUACCGCAUAGUUUUCUUGAUCGCAUGAUCGGGAAAGGAAAGACGGCCUUUGUGCUGUCGCUUAUGGAUGGACCCGCGGCGUAUUAGUUAGUUGGUGAGGUAACGGCUCACCAAGACGAUGAUACGUAGCCGACCUGAGAGGGUGAUCGGCCACAUUGGGACUGAGACACGGCCCAAACUCCUACGGGAGGCAGCAGUAGGGAAUCUUCCGCAAUGGACGAAAGUCUGACGGGGCAACGCCGCGUGAGUGAAGAAAGGUUUUCGGAUCGUAAAACUCUGUUGUCAGAGAAGAACAAGUUGGAGAGUAACUGCUCCAGCCUUGACGGUAUCUGACCAGAAAGCCACGGCUAACUACGUGCCAGCCGCAGC
RNAcentral lists this ribosomal RNA (524 nucleotides) under uncultured bacterium. RNAcentral describes it as "bacterial SSU rRNA". It matches the Rfam family "Bacterial small subunit ribosomal RNA", at positions 20 to 518 of the family's 1533-position model. The record is from RNAcentral.